UACGUAGGGUGCUAGCGUUGUCCGGAUUUAUUGGGCGUAAAGGGCUCGUAGGCGGUCUGUCGCGUCGGCUGUGAAAACCCGGGGCUCAACCCCGGGCCUGCAGUCGAUACGGGCAGACUAGAGUGCGGUAGGGGAGACUGGAAUUCCUGGUGUAGCGGUGAAAUGCGCAGAUAUCAGGAGGAACACCGGUGGCGAAGGCGGGUCUCUGGGCCGUAACUGACGCUGAGGAGCGAAAGCGUGGGGAGCGAACAGG
RNAcentral lists this ribosomal RNA (253 nucleotides) under uncultured bacterium. RNAcentral's name for it is "partial 16S ribosomal RNA". It matches the Rfam family "Bacterial small subunit ribosomal RNA", at positions 524 to 776 of the family's 1533-position model. The record is from RNAcentral.